Molecule: small RNA, 903 nt
Filed under: Mytilus galloprovincialis (Mediterranean mussel)
Lineage: Eukaryota; Metazoa; Mollusca; Bivalvia; Mytilida; Mytilidae
Source: RNAcentral
AUGCAGUUACAUAUCGUCGUAGAUAUUGUUUUCUGGUGUCCAACAAGAACAACUACCGAUAUCAAACAUAUCUUAGCAGACAAAGGCACUCACACCAGUAAGUCAACUGUGAGAAAAGUCAUUGAUGCAGCCGGAUUCACAGCUUCUAAACCCAGAUACGAUCAAACGGUUAGAGACGUAAACAAGCAGAAACGGGUCCAAUUUGCCAGAGAGGUCAUUGCAAACGACGAUCAUUUUAACAAUGUCAUUUUUACAGACGAGUGCUCCGUGCAGUUGCAUAACAACAAGAUAGUUAUCUACCGAGAGAAAGACUCUGUAGCACCGGUUUUACCAAAACCUAAACAUCCACUGAAGGUUCAUGUGUGGGCGGGUAUCAGUCGAAGAGGUACAACACGAAUAUUAAUCUUCGAAAAUAUCAUGACUGCAGCGUUUUACAUCAACCCCAUACUGACAUCGGGUCUGAUACCUUUCAUAAACCGUGUAUAUCCUUCUAGUCACUGUCUUCCACAAGACAACGACCCGAAACACACAGCAAAUGCAACUAAAGCAUUCAUGACUGAACAGAAUAUCAACUGGUGGAAUGUUUGGCCUGCGGAAAGUCCAGAUUUCAACCCCAUUGAAAUGGUUUGGUCCAUGUUGAAAUCCAGAUUAACCAAGAAAGAACCGAAAACAAAAGAAGACCUCAUCAACGGCAUUAAUUCUUUCUGGAGAGAAGAUCUAACAAUUCCAAUCUGCAACAACUUCAUUGAUCACAUCUAUAAGGUUCUACCAGUAGCAGUUGUAACAGGUGGAAGAGCUACAGGGGAUUUACCCAAGAAAAUUUUUCCAGAAAGAUCCAGUGGCAAGUCCAUACAGUAUUUCAACAGAAAACUCCAGACACAAGAAUACCAAGAUACGAUUUAA